UACGUAGGGUGCGAGCGUUGUCCGGAAUUAUUGGGCGUAAAGGGCUCGUAGGCGGUUUGUCGCGUCGGGAGUGAAAUCCACUGGCUUAACUGGUGGCUUGCUUUCGAUACGGGCAGACUGGAGGUAUGCAGGGGAGAACGGAAUUCCUGGUGUAGCGGUGAAAUGCGUAGAGAUCAGGAGGAACACCGGUGGCGAAGGCGGUUCUCUGGGCCUGUACUGACGCUGAGGAACGAAAGCGUGGGGAGCGAACAGG
RNAcentral lists this ribosomal RNA (253 nucleotides) under uncultured bacterium. RNAcentral describes it as "partial 16S ribosomal RNA". It matches the Rfam family "Bacterial small subunit ribosomal RNA", at positions 524 to 776 of the family's 1533-position model. The record is from RNAcentral.